CUCAUUGCUGGCUCAUGUUCAGCUGGCUGUCAGCUAACACCCCCAGAUCCUUUUCCUCUGAGAUUAUCACACCUCAACCUGCUGAUAGGUUGAAGUGAUUCUAUCCACUUCAGCAAACAGCUAUUCUUCAUUUUGAGAAAGAAGAAAAAUAAAUGCUAUUUGUCUGCUCACCUUUGUAUUAUUACUAGAGAGGUAAAAAGACAAAAGCAAGGAACAAAACCAACUCUGAAAUAGAGCUGUAGUUAUUGACAGUAGAUGUAGUCCUGGCACAUGGACAUCUCAAGAUUUGGUUUAUAGCUCAAAGUUCAUUCGCACAAAGAAAACUUCUGGUCUUGAACACAAAUGAAAACUAAUGAAUAAAAAAAACUAAAUAAAGUUGAGGGAGGUUGUUCUUAUGGUGAUAUACCAAAUUUGUUACACAAAAAGCUCACAAAAUUUUAGCAUAUAUGUAGUUUUUACUAGGAAUAUUAGUCCCAAUGAACUAUGAAUAGCCUUCCCUUAAAUUUCUGAAUGAUUUCCACUCUCUUGAAAAGGAAGUUUUGUAUUAAACUUCAUGGUUCAGAAUGUCCAAAAGAACUACUGCUUUUUCAUGGCAUCUCUUUAUCCCUGCUGAUCAUGUUGUAUCCAGCAUAAAAUAGCUGACAGCGCAAAAUGAAGCCCGUCCAUAUGCAGACAUGAGUAGCUUAAGUAGGUAUCCCUGAACCCAUUUCCCCAUUAGCAGAAUGAAGUUACCUACUUUGUAUCUAGUCUUUCACUUAAAAUAUUUCUAUGAUACUAUGUUGUGUAAAGUGAUGCAUCCUCUUUUCCAGGUCAAUUAAACUUCAAAUAAUUGUCCUUGUGUCCCCCACACUGAACACCAGUAACACAUAGUCCCUCACAUAGUAACACCAGUUACUAGCUGCAGUUUUACACACAAAUGUGCAUGUAAAUGGAUUCAUCUUAAUGUGUGCGCAAAUGCAUCCAUCUUAAAAUGCAACUGAUAUGUUCCUUUCUGUAAUACUAGGACAACUUUGUUGAAAGUUUACUCAGAGCAGUAUUGGAAGAAUUGAGCAACAGAAAGCUCAGUAUAAUACUUAAUACUGUUAAACAAACUUCAGCAUGGGUGUUCAAAUCUCUUUUUCAGCAGUAAUAUGAAAUGUUGGCAUGAAGUACAGGACAGACAACAGAAGAUAUCUAGAAAUAAACAUGGACCCUGUAUUACAAACUUACAUAUUAACUCCAGGGGACCAGCAGUCUUCUUGCUAACACUGCACAAUGCUGCAGGGGAAAAUUCCAGGUAGCUUUCAAGAUGCAACAGACCUUUUUGUGCUAAAUUUCAUCAUAAAAUAAAAAGCUUUAGUUGUCAUUUUCUUCAGACUGCUUUGAUACAGCGUAAGAACAUUUCAAGAGCAUGAUUUGUCACUACCACAUUUUUUUAUCACUAUGACCCGAGCAGUGUUCCAGUCCAGAUGCAUUUUACAUUCACUUUAUGGUUAUUAACAAUUCACCUAAUUACUUUAUUAUAUCUCACUGAAUGUUCUCUUAUGAUUUGAAAGGUUCAAGUCUCAGGUAGAUCAGGCUCACGUUUGUAAUGUAGCAGUUAUUUUCCAUUUCUACACUGGCUUUCCUUGGAUCAGAAAAUAGUUGCUGGAUUGCUGAGGGAGCUCCUUCCAUUCAUUUUACUUGAGCUCUUGGAAAAGUAUGGUUAAGCUUGUUUAUCCAUCAUUUAACCUCUCACUAGUAGUUUACAAGUCGUUUUCAGCCUUUCUGAAGGUUAGGGACUAACAAAGAUGAUCUGCAUUUUAGCAAGGUCUUGUUCUUUUACAAGAGGAUAUCAUCAGUAAAACCAAUUACAGACUGAAGUGUUUAAUAAAUAGAUCUUCCCUGGGAUUUUAAUAGAGUAAAGCACCAGUUACAAAAGGUCCAGACUGACAAAAUUCCCAUUAUUCUCUAGGAGGCUGGGAUUUUGCUAUAACCACCUGAAAAUAAUCCCUAUUUCUGACAUGCUGACAAGCCUGGGGUGCUUUUCUCCUAACUUGGUUUUCCCCUACUAUCCUUUUCAAGAUCACCUUUAAUUCCCAGUUGCAGAGUUGGGAAAGAGAAAAGUAGAGUCAUCCAAUUUUUAUGUGGUUAUUCAUGGAGAACAGACUGGUCUUUUUAAAGGUAAAUUGCAUUGUAUUGACUUUUUUCUUAUUAAAAUUACUUGAAAAUGUUUUAUGCCUGGGCACAUUUGAUUUCAAAAUUCAAGAUCAGAAACAAAAUCAUUUUUUUCCUUUUGUAAAACUUCCAGAAAACUGAAAAUUGAAUUAUUCACACAACUCCCAGCAGGAAUAAUAUAGCAUUGUGGUAAAGCUGCUUACUUCAGAAAAAAAAAAAAUAGAGUAAAAGACUGAGGAAAUACAAGACCUCACCCUGAGCUAUUGCAGGUUACUUGCUACCAGAAGCAGCAAGUUGUGAGGCAGAGCAUGACCUCCGACUAGACACCAAGAAUAAGCGUGUGGAUUGAAACCUAGCCACCAGAGGGAGAAAGUUAUUAAAAAGCAACACCCUCCUUUUUACUGACACUUGGCAAGCUAGAGCAGAGGGCAGCAGCGGGAGAGCUCCUGGAAUAGCCAAUCUGGAAAUCCAUUCACUUUGCAGUCUCUUAGAGAGAACUUGUUAGCUACUCAAGUUCCACAACUCCCUUCCUCCCCUUCCCCCCCAACCAUAUGGGGAAUCCUGAAGAUUAAGCUUUAUAAGUACUAGAACAUCUCGUAGGGUUUUGUUUCCACUUUUGCAAUACUCUUGCAUUAGUACAGUUUUAAGGCUUUGCAGUCUUUUCUCCAUCUUAAUCCACUUGACCAAGCAUUGUCUGCAUUAGAGGUAUAUAUUCAUCUUUACAUAUAUUUUGAAAAGCAUUUUACUGAACUAAUACAAUCAGCAUUGAAGUCAUACAGGACAGGAACAGUAUGAUCAGAAAAAUGAGAGGAGAUGAUGGAAGGACUGAAAGAAAAUUUGGAAAGAAGGAAAGACAACAAGUAGUGGUUGCCGGAUACUAAAAAAGCCAAUUCAUUUCAACACUUUAUUUGAUCUGAAGUUACUAAGUGUUUAAAUUUUAAGUUCACAGAAGGGAAUACUACUUAACCAGAGCAUUCUUAGCAUAUAUAUAGACAGGGCAACUACUGUUGUAUAUCAUAUCUUUGUUGCAUUUGAUAGCGACUAAAAUAAGGUACUUCAGAGAAGGUACAAUGGCAUGAUAUUAUCUAGUCUCAGUGAAAAUUCUGACUAAAUAUGACUAAAAUGAAUGAAAUAGAAGAACACUGUUUACCCUGAACUUCAUGAGAGUGAACUUAUGGCUGUUAAAGGAGUUAUUGGAUGAGAUCUCCUGGGAAGCUGUUCUUAGGGACACAGGAAUAGAACAGAGCUGGUAACUCUUCCAGGACACCCUUCUGAGAGCACAAGAGCUCUCCACCCCCCAGCAGAAAAAAUCAAGCAGAGGAUGCAGGAAACCAGCAUGGUCGAGCAAGUCAGACUGAGGGAAAAAAGGAAAAGUAUGAGCAGUGGAAGUGUGGUUGCGUGGCCUGGGAAGAAAACGGGGAUGCCACCUCGGCAUGCAGGGAUGGGAUCAGGAAAGCCAAGGCACAGAUGGAACAAAACUUGAUGAGUGAUGAGAAAAAUAACAAGAAGGGAUUCUAUCAAUAUAUUGAGCAGAAGAGACAGGCAAAGGAGAGUGUACCUCCUCUGAUAAAAGAGAAGGGAGAACUGGCUUCAACAGACAUGGAGAAGGCUGGGGUAAUCAGUGAGUUCUUUACCUCAGUCUUCACUGGCAGCCAGGCUUCCCACGCCUUUUGUGUCCCCGAACCUCUAGGUAGAGGUCAGGAAAGCAAAAUCCCUCCCACUGUAAGAGGAGAGCAAGUUCAAGACCGCCUCAUGAGGCUGAAUGUGUAAAGGUCUAUGAGGCUGGACAACAUGCAGCCCAGGGUCCUGAAGGAACUGGCUGAUGUGGUUGCCAAGCCAGUUUCCAUCAUAUUUGAAAAGUCAUGGCUGUCAGGAUAAGUCCCCAGUAAUAGGAAAAAGGGAAGCAUCACUCCCACUUUUAAGAAAGGGAGAAAGGAAGAUUCCAGGAACUACCAGCUGGUGAGCCUCUCCUCUGUGCCUGGGAAGAUCAUGGAGUUGAUCCUCCAGAGGAAAUAUAUCCAGCUCUUAAAUAAUUGCCUGCAACAGCUAAAAAUACUUAUCUACAUUCUGUAUUAAAGAUGGUCUAACAAAGAAACUGAGAGACUGACUGAAAUGUUAGCAGGUAGCUAUUUGUUUCUGCCUGCUCAAGCUAUUCAGUAUAAAUUAUAUAGAGGAGUUCAGCUCUGUUCUAUGCUCUUCCCUAACUCCCUGUUAAAAAAAAACAAAAAGUGUUGAAAUUGGCUGGUUUAGGUUAUACUAUUUCCUCCUGUGGAAAUGUAUCUCUUUGCUCUCAGUAAGGAUCCAGUCUUACACUUGUUAUUUCUUUGAAACCUCUCAUUAAAUAUUCUGCAAAAAUAACUUCCAUUUAAUACCAUGCCCAAGGAGGAUGUGCAAACUUCACAAUUCUACCUGCGUCUGAUCUUCUAAAUUACUGACUAAUCAAUAGAAACCUGCCAAAGAGGAGACCAGAGCAUAACAAAGAGAAUACUCUUGGAAUUAUGUCAGUGCAAAUGAGGCUUCACUGCAAAAAUUAAGUGUCAGAUCUUGCAAAUGUUUACACAUCUAUUUGGCAGUUUUUGGGGUCCUGAUGAAUAGCAGUACCCCCAGAAAACCAGAAUGACAGCUAUCAAAUCCAGUGCUCAAAUAAUCCUUUUUGCUGCUUGAGCAGCCUUCAUUUUGGAUGUUACCUUAAGUCUAUGUCAAGAAAUUUCGGAUGAGAUGAGGUCUUACAUAGUUUAUACUUUUUCAGUUUACUUGAUACUGAUCUACUGUCCGAAUGAAAUUGUUCCACCCUGGUCCUACAUGUACUGUGAGAUUCAGAUACAUUGGUUUCACACUCUUACCUUCUCUUUCUUCAAGAAUUCUGAAGUCAAUUAAAAUUGGAGAUGCUGUUUAUCUAUAUCUUUGUGCUGGUCAUUAUAUUUUACUAAUAUAUAAUUUUUUAUAUCAAAUUAAAGACUAGAUUCACUUGUGUUCCUUGUGCCAUUUCUAGGAUGAGAAGCAGCAGUAUGCCCUUCUUAAACAUUUAUCUCUGUCCCUGAAGGAUUGACAGCAUGUAGACUGUCCUAAGUAAGCUGCUAUCUCAUCUUUGCAAGGUGAUUUAAAACAAAAAUUCCCUAAUAUGAGCGAGUAUGCAAACUCAGCCCUAACUGGGUGAAUUAUUACUGUACAAUACAAACCUGCUGUGUUUUUGAACAAAUAGUAGCAAAAAAGAAGCACAGCUAUAGGAUUAGACGAUGACAUUUUAGUGCAAUGCCUUGAACUCCUUGUUUGUAAUUUGAUAAGGAAAUUUACGCAAAACUUUAUCUGUUUGGAUGCUGGAAGGUUCAACCUUUUCAGGACAAAAAGGUCCAGAGUAAAACAUAAUAAACAAAUAAUAUCAAAUUCAUUUUUGGCAAGGACAUUCCAAGUUUUGUAAUCUUCAGACCAAAUGGAAAUCUACAAAUGCCAGCUCUAUGGUUAAUAUUUUACAGAAGCAGGCUGUAAAGGGUAUAUAAGAAAAUCAUUUCUCUUCAAUCGUCCUAGCAUUUUUGAGUAAUUUAGCCCACAUCAUAAUCUGCAGCCAUGAAGUGGGUAACAUUAAUUUCAUUUAUUUUCCUCUUUAGUUCAGCAACAUCGAGGAAUCUGCAAAGAGUUGCUCGUGAUGCAGAGCACAAGAGUGAAAUUGCCCAUCGCUACAAUGAUUUGAAGGAAGAGACAUUUAAGGCAGUUGCCAUGAUCACAUUUGCCCAGUAUCUCCAGAGGUGUUCUUAUGAUGGACUGUCUAAGCUUGUGAAGGAUGUUGUUGAUCUGGCACAAAAGUGUGCAGCCAAUGAAGAUGCUCCUGAAUGCACAAAAUCACUGCCUUCCAUUUUCCUGGAUGAAAUCUGCCAAGUGGAAAAGCUCCGUGACUCAUAUGGCACAAUGGCCGACUGCUGUAGUAAAGCUGAUCCUGAAAGAAAUGAGUGUUUCCUGUCGUUUAAAGUUUCCCAACCAGACUUCAUUCAGCCAUACCAAAGACCGGCUUCUGAUGCGAUAUGCAAGGAAUACCAGGACAACAGAGUGUCAUUUCUGGGACAUUUCAUCUAUUCUGUUGCAAGAAGAAACCCCUUCUUGUAUGCCCCUACAAUCCUUAGUUUGGCUGCUGAUUACGAACAUGCACUUCAAAGUUGUUGCCAAGAGAGUGAUGUUGGUACUUGCCUGGACCACAAGGAAGCUGAGAUGAGAGAAAAAGCCAAGAAAGUAAGUGUGAAGCAGCAGUAUUCUUGUGGAAUCCUCAAGAAGUUCGGAGAAAGAAUUUUCCAAGCAGAUAAACUUGCUCGCAUGAGCCAAAAAUACCCCAAUGCUGCACUCACAGAGGUUUCUAAAAUUGUACGUGAUUCUAUGAAGAUCCACAAAGAGUGCUGUGAAGGGGACAUGUUGGAGUGCAUGGAUGACAUGGCAGAGACCAUAAACUAUAUGUGCUCUAAACAUGAUACCUUCUCAAGUAAAAUCAAAGGCUGUUGUGAGAAGCCUGUUGUGGAACGAAGCCAGUGCAUUAUGGAGGCAGAAUUUGAUGAGAAACCUGAACAUCUUCCUUCAUUAGUUGAAAAAUACGUACAAGAUAAGGAAGUGUGUAAAAGUUUUGAAGCAGGCCAUGAUGAAUUCAUGUCAGAAUUUGUUUAUGAAUACUCACGAAGACACCCGGAGUUCUCCACGCAGCUGAUUCUGAGAAUUGCCAAAGGAUAUGAAUCACUCCUGGAAAAGUGCUGCAAAACUGAUAACCCUGCUGAGUGCUAUGCAAAUGCUCAAGAUCAACUGAACCAACAUAUCAAAGAAACUCAGGAUGUUGUGAAGACAAACUGUGAUCUUCUCAAUGCCCAAGGCGAGCCAGAAUUCCUGAAGUCCAUCCUCGUCCGCUACACUAAGAAAAUGCCUCAGGUAUCAACUGAUACCUUGCUUGAAAUUGGAAAGAAAAUGACAGCUGUUGGUACUAAGUGCUGCCAGCUUCCCGAAGACAGACGCCUGCCUUGUUCUGAGGGUCAUCUGAGCAUUGUGAUUCAGGAUAUGUGCAGGAGACAGGAGACCACACCUAUAAAUGAACACGUUUCACACUGCUGCAGCGACUCCUAUGCUCAGAGGAGACCAUGUUUCACUGCCAUGGGAGUAGAUACCAAAUACGUUCCUCCACCAUUUAAUCCCGAUAUGUUCAGCUUUGAUGAACAAUUGUGCAGCGCUCCUCCCGCAGAACGAGAAGUAGGCCAGAUGAAAUUGCUUAUCAACCUCAUUAAACGCAAGCCUCAGAUGACAGAAGAACAAAUAAAGACAAUUGCUGAUGGUUUCACUGCCAUGGUUGAAAAGUGCUGCAAACAGUCAGACAUCAAUACGUGCUUUGGAGAAGAGGGUGCCAACCUAAUAGUCCAGAGCAGAGCCACAUUAGGAAUUGGUGUUUAAGACAUGAGUCUGAGUAUAGAAGGCAGAGGAAUCAAGCACAGCUGCAGCUCUAAGACCAUGCUGGUGAAAAAUAUUCUUUAACGGCCUAAGUGUCUCAUAAAGAGGUUGAGAAACCUCCUCGGUCACCCAGAACGCAUUUAAGUUUCUGCUACCAAACCUGAACUAUGACUUCAAGUUUCAGAAGGGCCAACUGUUAUCAUAACUCUCAACACAACACCUGUGACUCAUUUACAUGCUUUUGUUAGGUUAACUCAACAGUCUUGUUAGUCUGAUAUUCCUCCUACUGAAACUUGUAGUCCCUAGAACUCCUUAAAAACUACACGAGUAUUCCUGAAUACUCAAAGGAAAAGAAAACAAAACAAAACAAAAACAACCAAAUAAACACACCAACUUGUAGGCUAUAACAGAUUUUUGGUAGGCCUAUCUCCUUGCCUAUGGACAACUGAGUUUGCAGUAUUAUGCCAAAUCAGCCAGAGCACUGUUGUGAGCAUCCACAUCUUGUAAUCCAACAAAUGUAACAGUUCUCAUGCAGUUUUGCUGGUGCUUGAUGUACCCUGGAGAGGCUGAUGUCUGUUGUGUCCCUCUAGAUUAAAAAAAAAAUAAAAUAAUAAUAGUAAUAAAAGAAAAGCCUUUCCAAAGGAAAUGGUGUACCAGGAAAGAACAUGAUACUGUGGCAAUACACAAGGAUCUAAAAGAACAUGACCUUUGCAGAAGCAAGUAAUACAGAGAAUUACACACCUUGUAGUCUGCUCCUGUUCCUCUGCCCUAUUUGCUUAAUCUUCCUAUUUUAGCACAGUAUAGUAAAACGACACAUAGUUGUAGUUUGUGAUAUACUAUAACCCCUCAGUAAAACACAGGCUAAUUUUUACUUUCACCACUUUCACUUUUUUAUAGCCCAUCUCACUUUUUCAUACACCCUCUAUAAAAGUUAGUAAAGCCAUGACUAUUCCUUCAAAUAAGGUUUUCUUUGGAGAAAACCUGAUGGCAGAUACACACAUCCUUUACAUGGAACACAGGUUAGAGAUCAUCAUCCAUUAGCAAUAAUUAAAAAUAUUAACAAUAAUUUCCUUCUGCCUUCUCCUUCAGUCUUUAAUUCUUUCAGCUGACCACAUGUCACCUCCAUCAGGCUCCCACCUGCCUAAAGCUCCUCAUUUUAUUCAUCUCUGAAUUAUUCAACCAUUUCCUCCUGUCCAUACCUAUACCAUGCUCUGAAUCAUAAAUUAACAGUUGUCUUUUAUAACACUGUGUACUGAUAGUCACCUUUUAAAGGCACCCCUAUAAGAUGUUGUCAUCUCUUGGCCAAGACAUUUCCCUCUUAGGGCUUGAUUUCUCACAGUCCAUCACAGUUGAUGAAACGCCUCAUCCUGUUAGCCCCAGUUACUCUGCAUUCAGUCUCAAUGUUUGAGAACUAACAUUAGUACCAUGAUUCUGGAGUGUCUCUUGGAAGACCAUGGGCUCCAGCCUUAGUAUUUGGAAAAUCCUUUUAAUGCAUACUUCAGCUUUCACUUGAGCAUUCUAGAUCAUCCUGAUUUGGGGGAAAACUUUCAUCAAGGUCAUGACAAGGAAAGCAGAAAAAUGAUCAGGAAGGAAGAAUGUUCUUUUAACCCUCCAUAGCAGCUUAUGAUGCUGAUCUUGCAGCACACAGCUCUAUUAAAAAUGCAGUAGAGUGUAACCCAGGCUUUGCAAUGGGCAGUAGCUCUGGACCAGUACACAUUUCUAAGUUUUCAAAAAAUUUCUCUUGGUCACCCAACUGUUUUUCUGCUCUCAUAUAUAUAUAUAUAUAUAUAUAUCAGAAAACCUUUAUCACUGCAUUACACCAAAAAUGUGCAAAGAGUAGGUGCUUUUUAAGAUACACAAGAAAUUCCACUAACAUCUUCAGGUCCACUAACAUCUUUGAUACAAAUAUUUAUGAUCUCUUUGCCCUAGAGUUGUUCUCUAUUACCUCUAAGGGUUGCACUUGACUUUGCUGCUAAGCGGUGGAUGUAUUUUUUGGGUGAACUAUGAAUAAGUAUAUUAGUAAUCAGUGCUAAGUGAAUUUGUUUAUUUUCUUUGAUAGUCUCUAACUCACGCUUUGACUUUAUCCAAAGACCUGAAAAUGGCUUUUCUGCAACCAAGACUAGUAAAUUGGAUUGCAACCAGCAUAAAACUACACGUCAGUAGGACUAGUAUUGAAAUACACACAGUACUAAGAUCAUACGAAGUUACAUUUUAAAGCAAGACCUGUAGGCCAGAUCUUAAUGUACCCAGGUGCCAGGUCAAAGGAAAAAUCUGAAUUUACAAGCUGCUUUCAAAGUAGUCUGGUCAAAGAUCACAAACCCAAUAAGUAAUUUUGUCAUCUUUCCUUUCAGCAAAGGUGACUGCAGUUUGGGAGUUUCACUCAAGCCUAACGGAAAUCUACAUUUGUGUGGUUAACUGAAUUAUUGGAACAUGCUGCUCAGGGAAGUGCUGCAGUCACCAUCCCUAGAGGUGCUCAGAACACACGGAGAUGAGGCACUGGGGGACAUAGAGGAAACAGUACUACUUUAAAGAUUCUGAUCUCUCUUCAAAAAUGAAACAGAAUGAAACAGAUUACAGCGAAAUGUAAGAAUGUUUAUUUUGAGUGUAAUAUACACUGUUUCUAACCCAAAAUACUUUCUGAAGUAAAAAACUAACAGAUUAGAGAAAUCAACAAAAUCACCAAGUAUCAUUCCACUAGUCAUUUUUCUCUGAAACUCCUCAGCUAAGAAUUUCUAAUAAUGGCAUUUUAUGUGUCAUAUGUUUUUCUACGACUGGUAGAUAAAGGAGUUCAAAUUUACAUAUAGACAUACAUCCCUGCAUGCAAAGCUCUGCCUUUUAGAACACACUGAUUUCAAGAGGGACAAAUUGAAAGCUUCCAACUAAUCCUCUCUCUUACUGAAGUCUUAUGUUGGUGAUUUCUAUUAAAUGGAACCAGAAUCUAAACUAGCUGCUUCAUUUUCAAGACCUACAAAAUGAAAUGCCUAAGUUUUCUGAAUAGACUGUGGAUGUGUCAGUUUAUUUGACACCAGUGGCUGAAACAGGUGUGUGGGUGAUGUGCAUACGGAAAAGUCAAUGCCCAUAGAUAGUACUUGCUGACCUUAACCAGUUAUUUCCUACAGAUGAAUUAGAAAAAUUUUGAGGGUGGGCUUGAAUAUUCCCAGACAAAUAAGCACACAGCGGGUCACCAACGAGCUCAGUAGACCCAGGAAAGACUUUAAGGAUAUGGAGCUACAACGGCAUUUUUAUGAACUGCAACCCAGCACGUGUAGUAUAUCCCCAAAAGAACAGUGAGGAGAUAUGAGAGUGUUCUAAGCCACUGGUAGGAACUGAAUAUGAAAUUAAGUUUAUAUUUUCAGCCAACCCAAACUGAUACGUAACAGCCACUGAGUCACUGAAAAACUGUCCCUCCCUCACGUUAAACAAGCUGUGGAUUUGUAUAUACACACACACUUGACAAGAAACUGAAUUCAGAUAAUUGUGCAUAAGCACAAUAUGGCCCCAUCAUUCCAACGUUCUUCCUUCUCAUUACAUCUGUUCUUGUAUCCCACCAUUUUCUUGCAUAAGAGGUAUCAGUAAAAAAAUGUCAUGAGUCGUACCAUACGGUGCAGUGGCAGACUGCAGCGGUAAGGCUGACCCUGAAACAAAUCAGUUUUUCCUGAUUUUCAAAAUCCCUGGAAAAUUUUAAUUUGACAGUACCAGAGUCCAGAGCUCAGAGUACCGGUAAAGGAAGACCAGGACAUCAAAAUUUUAUGCCCAGAAUAGUAAGAACAUUGUUUGUGCUGUAUUGAAUAAGUACUAUUUAGUCAGUCAGAAUAGAGACAUUUCAGACCUUGGAGUCUUUCACCUACCUUUGUCAAACAAGAUUAAUUUUUCAUUUAGAAAAAUUUCGAAGUACAUUCUUCAGAAACAGCUUGUAUAAUUUCACCUUUCAAUAUUUUAAGGAAAAACCUACAAAAAUGCAGGUGUUUUUACUUCUCUACCCUCCUUUCUUUUCUGUUUAUUUCCUCAGGAAAAUUAACUCUCCAGAAUCCUUGAAUUUAAUAGGGCACAAAGAGGAGAAAAACGAGUGAGGAUUUUUCCAUUGUAAACUUGAAAUCUUUGGUAAUCUUCAUUUGUAUGUACAUGUUUGUUUAUAUGUUUAGAAACAUCUUAUUAAAUAUGAAAUGCUGAUUACUAUUCGGGGCUGAAAACAUAAGGAAUCAAACAAUAACUUCCACCAUUAAUUUGGGCCAUUAGCAGAUGCAAAAAUACGAAGUCUCUAGAAGUCUAAGGCAUUCUAUACUGAUCUGUUUGCCUUGUUCUUCAGACCUGCAGCACCUACAGCUAUGAUUUAGUUGUGUAGAAGGUGGCAUCUAAUACUAUUUGAGAUACCUUAAACAUUCUGCUUGACGUUUAUCUACUAAACCUGAAAUGAAUGGGUAUUCACUGGCAAAGCGCUAUGCUAGCUAACUGCCAUGCCAUAUUAAGAAAAAAAAAACAAAAAACAAAACAAAAAAAAAAACAGCGGCAAGA
Molecule: RNA transcript, 12057 nt
Organism: Numida meleagris (helmeted guineafowl)
Lineage: Eukaryota; Metazoa; Chordata; Aves; Galliformes; Numididae
Gene: ALB
Gene name: albumin
Exons: 16
Source: RefSeq, a predicted model, not a curated record